GAUGAACGCUGGCGGCGUGCCUAAUACAUGCAAGUCGAGCGAACGGACGAGAAGCUUGCUUCUCUGAUGUUAGCGGCGGACGGGUGAGUAACACGUGGAUAACCUACCUAUAAGACUGGGAUAACUUCGGGAAACCGGAGCUAAUACCGGAUGAUAUUUUGAACCGCAUGGUUCAAAAGUGAAAGACGGUCUUGCUGUCACUUAUAGAUGGAUCCGCGCUGCAUUAGCUAGUUGGUAAGGUAACGGCUUACCAAGGCAACGAUGCAUAGCCGACCUGAGAGGGUGAUCGGCCACACUGGAACGGAGACACGGUCCAGACUCCUACGGGAGGCAGCAGUAGGGAAUCUGCCGCAAUGGGCGAAAGCCUGACGGAGCAACGCCGCGUGAGUGAUGAAGGUCUUCGGAUCGUAAAACUCUGUUAUUAGGGAAGAACAUAUGUGUAAGUAACUGUGCACAUCGUGACGGUACCGAAUCAGAAAGCAACGGCUAACUACGU
This 496-nucleotide ribosomal RNA is filed under the name uncultured bacterium. RNAcentral describes it as "partial 16S ribosomal RNA". It matches the Rfam family "Bacterial small subunit ribosomal RNA", at positions 28 to 506 of the family's 1533-position model. The record is from RNAcentral.